Molecule: long non-coding RNA, 1816 nt
Filed under: Salmo salar (Atlantic salmon)
Lineage: Eukaryota; Metazoa; Chordata; Actinopteri; Salmoniformes; Salmonidae
Description: lncRNA (ENSSSAG00000109095.1)
Source: RNAcentral
CAUGAGCCACCUCUGGUUAAUACCCAUACAUGAGCCACCUCUGGUUAAUACCCCGUACAUGAGCCAUCUCUGGUUAAUACCCCGUACAUGAGCCACCUCUGGUUAAUACCCCGUACAUGAGCCACCUCUGGUUAAUACCCCGUACAUGAGCCACCUCUGGUUAAUACCCCGUACAUGAGCCACCUCUGGUUAAUACCCCGUACAUGAGCCACCUCUGGUUAAUACCUUGUACAUGAGCCACCUCUGGUUAAUACAAUACAAUGAGUUGACUGGUUGUCUACUUGUAUUUUAACAUUGCUAGAAUGAUCAGUGUGCUGUUAUAAAUGCUUUUAGCAAGUGUUAAAAUGAUGAAUGGUAAUCCAUAAUAAUUAAACACGCUUUAAGGUGGAAACUCUUCUCAUCCACCACUUAGGGGGAUGCACGGCAACCAAUAGUCCCUGAAAGCUCACCACACAUCAGUUAUCGUGGAGAGGUGAGAAGUGUGAUGAUUAGGAAGGAAGGGGGUGAUUAGGAGGUUAUGAUGGAAAUGGGGCCAGGUUGGGGACUUAGCCAGGACACUGGAGCCAGGUUGGGUCCCCAGGACACUGGGGCCAGGUUGGGGACUUAGCCAGGACACUGGGGCCAGGUUGGGAACUUAGCCAGGACACUGGGGCCAGGUUGAGGACAUAGCCAGGACACUGGGGCCAGGUUGGGAACUUAGCCAGGACACUGGGGCCAGGUUGAGGACAUAGCCAGGACACUGGGGCCAGGUUGGGAACUUAGCCAGGACACUGGGGCCAGGUUGAGGACAUAGCCAGGACACUGGGGCCAGGUUGAGGACAUAGCCAGGACACUGGGGCCAGGUUGGGGACAUAGCCAGGACCUGGGGCCAGGUUGGGGACUUAGCCAGGACACUGGGGCCAGGUUGGGUCCCCAGGACACUGGGGCCAGGUUGGGGUCUUAGCCAGGACACUGGGGUCAGGUCGGGGACAUAGCCAGGCCACUGGGGCCAGGUUGGGGACUUAGCCAGGACACUGGGGCCAGGUUGGGUCCCCAGGACACUGGGUCCAGGUUGGGGACAUAGCCAGGACACUGGGGCCAGGUUGGGUCCCCAGGACACUGGGGCCAGGUUGGGUCCCCAGGACACUGGGGCCAGGUUGGGGACAUAGCCAGGACACUAGGGCCAGGUUGGGGACUUAGCCAGGAUAUUGGGACAAGGUUGGGGACUUAGCCAGGACACUGGGGCCAGGUUGGGGACUUAGCCAGGACACUGGGGCCAGGUUGGGGACUUAGCCAGGACACUGGGGCCAGUUUGGGGACUUAGCCAGGACAAGCUUUUCUUUUCUGUUUUCUUAUCUGACCAGGAAAACCUCAGUGCUGUAGCUAUAGCCUGGCAUAGGGCCAUAUGUAUAACAUAUGUAUAAGUGUUUCUGACAGUAGGUGCUAUAUGGCAAUUAUACAAUCUGGAUGUGGCAAUUAUACAAUCUAGAUGUGGUAAUUAUACAAUCUAGACAUGGUAAUUAUACAAUCUGGAUGUGGCAAUUAUACAAUCUAGAUGUGGUAAUUCUACAAUCUAGAUGUGGUUAUGAAAGGGUUAUCAAACCCCUUCACAGUUUAGAGGUGUGAACAGGGAGGCUAGCUCCUCUAUGAUCACAAACUGUAGCUAUAGAGCUGAACCACAGCCCUAUCCCAGCCCUUUAUCCACUUUGAUCACUCUGAAGCACUUCUCUCUGAUAGAAACACCCAUGGUUUUCAAACUCUUCAGCAGAACUCUGAGUAGAAAGAGACAUCAAGGCCUGAGCCUCAAGCCUAACAAGACUGUUUUCAACAGAGAGGA